GACCCUGCCCAAAGGCCAGCUGGAGUCCAUUGUGGAGAACAUCCGCAUCUACGGUAUCCACGCCCUGCUGGUGGUCGGCGGGUUUGAGGCCUAUGAAGGGGUGCUGCAGCUAGUGGAGGCUCGCGGGCGCUACGAGGAGCUCUGCAUCGUCAUGUGCGUCAUCCCAGCCACCAUCAGCAACAACGUCCCUGGCACCGACUUCAGCCUUGGCUCCGACACCGCUGUAAAUGCCGCCAUGGAGAGCUGUGACCGCAUCAAACAGUCUGCCUCGGGCACCAAGCGCCGUGUGUUCAUUGUGGAGACCAUGGGGGGUUACUGUGGCUACCUGGCCACCGUAACUGGCAUUGCUGUCGGGGCCGACGCCGCCUACGUCUUCGAGGACCCUUUCAACAUCCAUGACUUGAAGGUCAACGUGGAGCACAUGACGGAGAAGAUGAAGACGGACAUUCAGAGGGGCCUGGUGCUGCGGAACGAGAAGUGCCAUGACUACUACACCACGGAGUUCCUGUACAACCUGUACUCAUCAGAGGGCAAGGGUGUCUUCGACUGCAGGACCAACGUCCUGGGCCAUCUGCAGCAGGUGUGGGGCAGGGGUGAGGCUCUGAGAGGCCUGCCCCUCUUCCCUGCCACCAUCUGUCCCUGGGCCCAGAGGUCCCAGCCCUCACGGGCACCCACAGGCACUCCCUGCAGGCCCUCGGGCACGUGUGCCCUUCCCCAGUGAGGGGACUGAGGCCUGUAUCUAGGUGAGGUCUCAUUCCAAGAAGGGGUGGGGCUGGGGCUGGAGCCGGGGCCCAAGCCAGGGCACUCACAUGCUGAGCCGAGCUCCCCACCCCUGCCAGGCCUCCCGCGGCCACUUCCGCCGAGCCCCUCACCUAGAUCCUGGUAUGUUCCCUGCCUUACGGUGGCCCUGCAGGAAGCCUGCGUCCUGGGGUUUUCUGAGCCAGGGAGGGG
RNAcentral lists this small RNA (951 nucleotides) under Pongo abelii (Sumatran orangutan). Its description in RNAcentral is "retained intron". Lineage: Eukaryota; Metazoa; Chordata; Mammalia; Primates; Hominidae. The record is from RNAcentral.